AGUGAACGCUGGCGGUAGGCCUAACACAUGCAAGUCGAACGGCAGCACAGUAAGAGCUUGCUCUUACGGGUGGCGAGUGGCGGACGGGUGAGGAAUACAUCGGAAUCUACUUUUUCGUGGGGGAUAACGUAGGGAAACUUACGCUAAUACCGCAUACGACCUACGGGUGAAAGCAUGGGAUCUUCGGACCUUGCGCGAUUGAAUGAGCCGAUGUCGGAUUAGCUAGUUGGCGGGGUAAAGGCCCACCAAGGCGACGAUCCGUAGCUGGUCUGAGAGGAUGAUCAGCCACACUGGAACUGAGACACGGUCCAGACUCCCACGGGAGGCAGCAGUGGGGAAUAUUUGACAAUGGGCGCAAGCCUGAUCCAGCCAUACCGCGUGGGUGAAGAAGGCCUUCGGGUUGUAAAGCCCUUUUGUUGGGAAAGAAAAGCAGCAGGUUAAUACCCCGCUGUUCUGACGGUACCCAAAGAAUAAGCACCGGCUAACUUCGUG
Molecule: ribosomal RNA, 492 nt
Filed under: uncultured bacterium
Lineage: Bacteria
Description: partial 16S ribosomal RNA
Rfam family: Bacterial small subunit ribosomal RNA
Source: RNAcentral